This 250-nucleotide ribosomal RNA is filed under the name uncultured bacterium. Its description in RNAcentral is "partial 16S ribosomal RNA". It matches the Rfam family "Bacterial small subunit ribosomal RNA", at positions 524 to 773 of the family's 1533-position model. The record is from RNAcentral.
UACGGGGGGUGCGAGCGUUAAUCGGAAUUACUGGGCGUAAAGGGUCUGUAGGUGGUAUGUACUACUCAGUGUGAAAGCCCAGGGCUCAACCUUGGAACUGCAUUUGAUACUGGCAAACUAGAGUAUGGUAGAGGAAUGGGGAAUUUCCGGUGUAGCGGUGAAAUGCGUAGAUAUCGGAAGGAACACCAAUGGCGAAGGCAACAUUCUGGACCAAUACUGACACUGAGGGACGAAAGCGUGGGGAUCAAAC